RNAcentral lists this transfer RNA (85 nucleotides) under Felis catus (domestic cat). It matches the Rfam family "tRNA". From Rfam's summary of the family: Transfer RNA (tRNA) molecules are approximately 80 nucleotides in length. The record is from Rfam by way of RNAcentral. Lineage: Eukaryota; Metazoa; Chordata; Mammalia; Carnivora; Felidae.
UCCUGGGUGGCUCAGUCGGUUGAGCAUCCGACUGUGGCUCAGGUCAUGAUCUCAUGGUUUGUGGGUUCGAGCCCCACGUCAGGUU